Long non-coding RNA from Solanum tuberosum (potato), 1309 nucleotides. RefSeq lists it as uncharacterized. The transcript has 2 exons. Lineage: Eukaryota; Viridiplantae; Streptophyta; Magnoliopsida; Solanales; Solanaceae. The record is from RefSeq and is a predicted model, not a curated record.
UUACUUAAACUCCGUGCCAAGUCAAACAAGGUCAUUCUUUAUGAAACGGAGGGAGUAAAUUUUAUUUCAUCUUCUCUUGUUUGCUUAUGAUAACCCUGGAUGUUUGCUCAAGAUGUGAUCAUAUUACGUAGGUUGUGAGUUCUGAUCUUAGUAGCCUUUAUUCCCAUCCCGCGUAAGAACAUAUAUUCUAUUAUAAUUUUCUUGCCUGAUCAAUUCGUUGUUCAAAGCAUCUUCCGAACUUUUUGAUGAUUGUUUUGAAGAGGAUGUCAUGGAUACCCAACUUAAAGGUCUGUUUGCAUUUUUCUGUAGACAUAUAUUUUGAAUGUAAUUGAACAAUGCAUAAUAUAUAUACCAGUAAGUGUAAAUUAUCUGAUCUGAUUUUCAUUGCCAGUCACUGUGGACCUGACAGUCUCUAGAGAGGAAUAAGUUACCGUACGUAAGCGGUAAAUCUGGCGGUAAGUUUUUAGUAUGCUUACAAUCAUGUGCUUAUCCUUACUAUGUACUAGUUUGUGUGCAAGCUAAGAUAUAAUUUCCUUAAUCAUCAGGUAUAAGUGAUUUUGCUCAUAUAUGCACACUAUAGGUCUCUCGCUUUCUCUACAUUUAUUUGACAAGAAUGUUUUUUUCAAUUUCAAAAAGCAUGUGCUUUCAUUUCCCCCUUUUUUGAGGGGUUGUUUUAUUUCAGAUGUGAAUGUUACAAUGCCAAUUACCUGUUCUUGUUGAUAGUUCAAAAAUGUGCCAAUUUAGAUCUAAAUUUCAGGUUGCACUUCUUUCUUUUCAUCUUGCCUACUAUUCUAAAAUGAGGUUUUCUUCUGAUGCAUUUGCCAUUGCAACCUUUUUGGGAAAUAAUGUUCAAUUUAAUGAAUCAUGUGAAGAACAAUAAUUGUUAUAAGGUUAGGGAAUAAUUUUUGACAAACACAAUCAAUGGUGUAGAAGAAUCCGAAGCUGAGCUGAGAUGUUGCUCGGCUAAGUAUAUAGUAGAUGGCUCUAUCCUAUAACUAGGUCUGGAGGCAGUGGGAUCUGUAAAUUAAAUAGGCAGCUGGUGGAUAACAGCUCUUAUGGUUCUUUUUGUCAAAAGAUAUGUACAAUUGCUUAGAUUACAUUCCCUAAUUUAUUAAUGCAAUCAUCUGGUCGUUCCUAUGGAACUACGAGGAAGUUUUUGUCGUCCUUGGUGACCAAACAAUUGAAUGUCAAGUUGUCUGGUAAAUAAACAUGGAUAUUUAGUGUGGUAUAUCUACGUCUUUAUGUUAAACUAGUCUGGUGCAAGUGCAACAAAAUUGCAUCAAUUUAAAGGGUUACAUAUCUAAAAUAA